RNAcentral lists this ribosomal RNA (204 nucleotides) under Clostridioides difficile. Its description in RNAcentral is "partial 23S ribosomal RNA". It matches the Rfam family "Bacterial large subunit ribosomal RNA", at positions 445 to 651 of the family's 2925-position model. The record is from RNAcentral. Lineage: Bacteria; Bacillati; Bacillota; Clostridia; Peptostreptococcales; Peptostreptococcaceae.
AGGAGGGACCACCCUCCAAGGCUAAAUACUACCUAGUGACCGAUAGCGUAUAGUACCGUGAGGGAAAGGGGAAAAGAACCCCGGGAGGGGAGUGAAAUAGAACCUGAAACCCUGCACUUACAAGCUGUGGAAGCACAUUUCUUGUGUGACCGCGUACUUUUUGUAGAACGGGCCAACGAGUUACGUUAAGUAGCAAGGUUAAGC